UAGAUAUGCUCUUCUGGAAUCGGAUAUUGGGCGUAAGAGCUCGUAGGCGGUUUGUCGCGUCUGCUGUGAAAUCCGGAGGCUCAACCUCCGGCCUGCAGUGGGUACGGGCAGACUAGAGUGCGGUAGGGGAGAUUGGAAUUCCUGGUGUAGCGGUGGAAUGCGCAGAUAUCAGGAGGAACACCGAUGGCGAAGGCAGAUCUCUGGGCCGUAACUGACGCUGAGGAGCGAAAGGGUGGGGAGCAAACAGGCUUAGAUACCCUGGUAGUCCACCCCGUAAACGUUGGGAACUAGUUGUGGGGUCCAUUCCACGGAUUCCGUGACGCAGCUAACGCAUUAAGUUCCCCGCCUGGGGAGUACGGCCGCAAGGCUAAAACUCAAAGGAAUUGACGGGGACCCGCACAAGCGGCGGAGCAUGCGGAUUAAUUCGAUGCAACGCGAAGAACCUUACCAAGGCUUGACAUAUACGAGAACGGGCCAGAAAUGGUCAACUCUUUGGACACUCGUAAACAGGUGGUGCAUGGUUGUCGUCAGCUCGUGUCGUGAGAUGUUGGGUUAAGUCCCGCAACGAGCGCAACCCUCGUUCUAUGUUGCCAGCACGUAAUGGUGGGAACUCAUGGGAUACUGCCGGGGUCAACUCGGAGGAAGGUGGGGAUGACGUCAAAUCAUCAUGCCCCUUAUGUCUUGGGCUUCACGCAUGCUACAAUGGCCGGUACAAAGGGCUGCAAUACCGCGAGGUGGAGCGAAUCCCAAAAAGCCGGUCCCAGUUCGGAUUGAGGUCUGCAACUCGACCUCAUGAAGUCGGAGUCGCUAGUAAUCGCAGAUCAGCAACGCUGCGGUGAUUACGUUCCCGGGUCUUGUACACACCGCCCCGUCAGUCAUGAAAGUCGGUAACACCUGAAGCCGGUGGCCUAAAUCCUUGUGGAGGGAGCCGUCGAAGGUGGGGAUCGGUAAUUAGGACUAAUUCGUAACAAGGUACCCAAU
This 981-nucleotide ribosomal RNA is filed under the name Microbacterium sp. Its description in RNAcentral is "bacterial SSU rRNA". It matches the Rfam family "Bacterial small subunit ribosomal RNA". The record is from RNAcentral. Lineage: Bacteria; Bacillati; Actinomycetota; Actinomycetes; Micrococcales; Microbacteriaceae.